This 374-nucleotide ribosomal RNA is filed under the name uncultured bacterium. RNAcentral describes it as "bacterial SSU rRNA". It matches the Rfam family "Bacterial small subunit ribosomal RNA", at positions 524 to 898 of the family's 1533-position model. The record is from RNAcentral.
UACGUAGGCAGCGAGCGUUGUUCGGAGUUACUGGGCGUAAAGAGUGCGUAGGUGGCUCUCUAAGUUUGGUGUGAAAUCUCCCGGCUCAACUGGGAGGGUGCGCCGAAAACUGGAGGACUAGAGUGUGGGAGAGGAAAGCGGAAUUCCUGGUGUAGCGGUGAAAUGCGUAGAUAUCAGGAGGAACACCUGCGGUGUAGACGGCUUUCUGGACCACUACUGACACUGAGGCACGAAAGCGUGGGGAGCAAACAGGAUUAGAUACCCUGGUAGUCCACGCCCUAAACGAUGCACACUUGGUGUGAGCCAUUCAUUUGGUUCGUGCCGGAGCUAACGCGUUAAGUGUGCCGCCUGGGGAGUACGGUCGCAAGGCUGAA